This 253-nucleotide ribosomal RNA is filed under the name uncultured bacterium. RNAcentral describes it as "partial 16S ribosomal RNA". It matches the Rfam family "Bacterial small subunit ribosomal RNA", at positions 524 to 776 of the family's 1533-position model. The record is from RNAcentral.
GACGAACCGUGCGAACGUUGUUCGGAAUCACUGGGCUUAAAGGGCGCGUAGGCGGGUUCGCAAGUCUGUGGUGAAAGCCUCCAGCUUAACUGGAGAAGUGCCGUGGAUACUGCGAAUCUUGAGGAGGGUAGGGGCGUCUGGAACGGUCGGUGGAGCGGUGAAAUGCGUAGAUAUCAUCUGGAACGCCAAUGGUGAAAACAGCUCGCUGGGGGUUUGCAGACGCUGAGACACGAAAGCCAGGGGAGCGAACGGG